Non-coding RNA from Xylogone sp. PMI_703, 127 nucleotides. The record is from the annotation of a GenBank genome assembly. Lineage: Eukaryota; Fungi; Ascomycota; Leotiomycetes.
GCUCCUUUGGCGCAAUGGCAGCGCGUAAGUUUUCUAACAAAACAGAUUCAAAAUUGCUCUUGGUAACUCAUCUUCUUAGGCAAGACUUCUAAUCUUGAGGCUGCGAGUUCGAGUCUCGCAAGGAGUG